GGAUUUGUUCGGAUUUUCCGGAUUUGUUCGGAUUUUUUCUGGAUUUUUGAAAAUCUGUUGGAUUUUCCGGAUUUGUUUGGAUUUUCCGGAUUUUUUCUGGAUUUUUUUUAAUUAUAGAGUUAUAGAGCUAGGUAACGUUUUGAACAAAUAAUCUUAAGUUGUACGAUGUCAACGUUAUGCCAGGACGUCAGGGUCGAGCAGAGGACUGGGACUAGGACCACAGCCUUCUGAAACUAUUAACGAAGGCUGUGCAUGCAGUCAAUUUGUAUAAAAUUCAAACAAGUUCAUUAUUCUUUCAAAAGCAGUAAAAGACAAUGGUGAAUAACUUUUGGUUUUGUAAUUAUAUUUUACAACAUAACGUCAUUGUAACAAGAACACAUAUUUAGUAGUAAUAGGCUAAAAAAACUUAGCGUAUACUCGAGCGUAUAAAUGGAAAUGUAGAGUGGUCCAAUAAUUACGAAAUAUAAUGACAGCGAUCACGGUAAGCAUUUAGCUUUCGCUGUCCGCCAUUUUGAACGUGGCAAAGAACCUUUACGAGUAAAUUACACCAAGUACUUCAUAUAUUUUUUUGUGGAUUUGCGGAUUUUUUAAGGAUUUUGAAGGAUUUCUGUGGAUUUUUGAAGGAUUUCUGUGGUUUUUAAAGGAUUUUUUGGAUUUUGAUGGAUUCAAUGGAUUUUGAGGAUUUCAUGGAUUUUUUCUGGAUUUUUUCCGGAUUUUUUGACGAAGUGUACGGGAUUUUUGGAGUGAAUUGCCCCUCG
Non-coding RNA from Paramuricea clavata, 758 nucleotides. The record is from the annotation of a GenBank genome assembly. NCBI's taxonomy places the organism in Eukaryota, Metazoa, Cnidaria, Anthozoa, Malacalcyonacea, Plexauridae.